RNAcentral lists this long non-coding RNA (610 nucleotides) under Helianthus annuus (common sunflower). Lineage: Eukaryota; Viridiplantae; Streptophyta; Magnoliopsida; Asterales; Asteraceae. The record is from RNAcentral.
GGGGGUGGAAAGACAUGCAAGUUUUGCAAAAUCACACAAGGUUUCGAUAAAUCAAUAUCACAUAUUUAUAAACCAUUUUGCGACAGAAUUUCAACGAACUCAAAUGGUUUACGAAAAGAUUAUACUAAACAUACCGGUUUUAUGAAAACAUAAGUGUUUUUCGAAACAUGCAUGAGUUUUAAUAACACAAAUGACGUGGGCAAAGGCCCAAGGACAUGAAUAACUCACACAUUAUACGUUAACUAGGGUAUGGUUAAGCUAGGGAAUGAACUGUUAGAUCAGGUGAGCGAAUAGUAAUCUCUCUUAAGUGCCAUUAAUCUUGUAUAAGACCGAGGGCAAAAGUGGUAGAUCUAUCGGGUGUAGCGAGCCCCACUCUUGGGUCCUUGUGUGGCCCAUGUAGUGCUUUUGUUGUUCUAACCGGGUGGACCGGGGGAAAUCCGCUAGGGUUGAGUGCUUCCUAUGUCGCCACACAUAUUAAUGUCCUUGCAAAACAUUAAUGAUCUGUUCAUAGACGCUUACAUACCAGUUUUAAUACUCAGAUUUUCAAAUGUUUUUAAGAUUCAUUUGAAGUAAACUCACAAAUACAUGGAUUUACAAACUUUGGUAACGU